This is a non-coding RNA of Plectropomus leopardus (leopard coralgrouper), 1119 nucleotides long. NCBI's taxonomy places the organism in Eukaryota, Metazoa, Chordata, Actinopteri, Perciformes, Serranidae. The record is from RefSeq and is a predicted model, not a curated record.
AGCUGGCUGCUUUGUUCAACAUCGAUCCCGUGGAGCUUGGCAUUUAACGGCCUGCAUUAGGACGGAGAGAAGGGAGAAAACAUUUUGUCAAUACUUCUAAUAAUUGAGGGUGAAAUGACAAGAUAAGCUGGACCUGGAGCAAAUGUCUUUCGAGGUGAAUGUAGACAGCAGCGGGGCAGGCCAUUGGUCUCCAUCUCUCCUCCAUCCCGUCCCCUUCUCUCCUCUCCAUAUUCCUCUUCAUACCCACUCUACCCCUCUCUUCCUCUCCCCUCAACCGCGCUCCCUCUCCCUAACCCCACACCUCUCUCCCCCUUUUCCUUCACCCACCCCCCCAAUAGGUACGCCUUCAUCCCCUCUUGGCAGCUCCAUCUCCUCCUCACCUCCCCCCGUCAUCUCUCCUCCCUCUCCCUGGUUGGUUUCCACAGCUGUGGUGAGUGAGGGGCAGAUGACCGGAGAAUUGGCCCCUGGGAGAGCGCUGAGCCAUCCUGGUGCUAUUAGGCUCGUGGCUAAUAAUAGGUGUUUCAGACCAGGGGAAGAUCAAUCAGGGGGAAUCAUGGGGAAUGUUCGGAGCAGCGCUUUUUACACAUCGGCCCAGAUGGAUGAAAUUACACUUGUCAGUUUUUAGUUGCAUUACUCCCAAAUUGGUUGUCUACUCUUUUUUUCUCCCUCCCUCCCUCGCUCUCUCUCUCCUCUCCUUUCUCUCUUUUUGCCCUCAUUCAUGUGUCAGUGGCCUGCUAAAGGGAUUCAAUGGUGAAAUCCCUGUCAUUUUUGUCUUUUCUCUGUUUAGCCCUCAGCCAGCAACUCUGUAGCCUGCAUAUGCACUUAAAGCGAAUCAGUGUAGGAUCUCGUCUUAUGGCUCAGGCGAUUUCCAUGUUGAAGGCAAGUGUGCAGCUGACAUUCUGUAUGUGCUCUUCAUGUUCAAUAAAACAAUUUGAUUGAUUCUCAAACACUUCAAACAAUUAAGCAGGUCAUAAAAGACUCAUUAAGGAUUUUUAAUUUGCCACCAGGAUGCUUAGGAUGCUUUUGAGGUGGCCAACUAAAACCAUGGACUCCAAUAACUAGUAAGCUAGACAGUCAUUGUUUCUUUAUUCUCAACAGGACAAGACUAUUUUGAUAAUU